GUAACAAGGUUUCCGUAGGUAGCAUGUUUGCCUGCCGGAAGCCCCCGCAGCGACUCUAAAGAAUUGCGUUAGUCGCCCCUCGAUUCGGGGCAGGCAACGCCAUCACUCUGCGCUGGAAGUCCCCCAUUCGGGGCCAACCAGCAGCUCCGGAGACCCCUGCGGAGUUCACAGAUCAAACGAUAGCGGCCACCUCGGUGGUUGAGAUAUGGUCGGCCUUUAGCUGUCCCCGGCUGGAGAACUCGCGGAACCUGCGGAAGGAUCAUUA
RNAcentral lists this ribosomal RNA (265 nucleotides) under Bryoria fuscescens. Its description in RNAcentral is "partial 18S ribosomal RNA". Lineage: Eukaryota; Fungi; Ascomycota; Lecanoromycetes; Lecanorales; Parmeliaceae. The record is from RNAcentral.